This 190-nucleotide non-coding RNA is filed under the name Prevotellaceae bacterium KH2P17. RNAcentral describes it as "Bacterial small subunit ribosomal RNA". It matches the Rfam family "Bacterial small subunit ribosomal RNA", at positions 1 to 181 of the family's 1533-position model. Lineage: Bacteria; Pseudomonadati; Bacteroidota; Bacteroidia; Bacteroidales; Prevotellaceae. The record is from Rfam by way of RNAcentral.
ACAAUGGAGAGUUUGAUCCUGGCUCAGGAUGAACGCUGGCUACAGGCUUAACACAUGCAAGUCGAGGGGCAUCAUGCGGGUUGCUUGCAACCUGUGAUGGCGACCGGCGGAUGGGUGAGUAACGCGUAUCCAACCUUCCCUUAACCGGGGCAUAACCUGCCGAAAGGCAGACUAAUUCCCCAUGCACUCC